AGCAUUUGGACAUCUGCCACCCGGAGGGCACUGCUCCCUCUUUUUCUUCAUCUCACCAUCCUGCCCGGCCUGGCAGCAGCCGUGGGCAGCCUCCCAUGACGCAAGCGGGUGACCGAGCUUACUCUGAGAGGCGCUGCGGCCAGGAUUGGAAGGAGGAGGGAGGCACACACUUUGAAUUUAGCCCAAGCAGAUCAAGCAGGUUAUAUUUGGAAACCAGGCCAGUGGAGUUGGCCGAGUGCGCAGCAUCAGGCAGCACAAGGUGAACAAGAAUCCAAACCAGACCAUCGCGGAGUCUGCUCCCGGCCGCCCUGGGUUAGAGUCCAGGUUCUGGAGCCCCCCUGAGAGAACCAAAGCAUCACCCAGAGGCACCACCUCGUGGCGAAGCAUCGGCUCAAAGGACCCUUCGCAUGAGACCCUUGACAAUGGCUCCUCUGGCCUAAAACGGGAUCUGGACUCACAACCGUGGUGCUCAAGCUCCUGUCUCGCCUGCAAAAGGCCAGUAUCAACCAUCUAACCAUCCCAUCCGGGCCUCGUUUUCUGGGCGUUCCCACACGGGCGCUGGACGUGACCGUCUCCCGCGCUCGGCCUGCCGGGGGCUCUGAGAAGUCAGUGCGGCCAGCCCGGUUCUAUAGGCGUGGACCUGAGGUUUGGAAAGAUGAGGGCACUCUUCUGGGACCUCACAGCUGGGAAGUGGC
This 695-nucleotide long non-coding RNA is filed under the name Vulpes vulpes (red fox). Its description in RNAcentral is "lncRNA (ENSVVUG00000006383.1)". Lineage: Eukaryota; Metazoa; Chordata; Mammalia; Carnivora; Canidae. The record is from RNAcentral.